Vicugna pacos (alpaca) is the source of this 3270-nucleotide non-coding RNA. The record is from RefSeq and is a predicted model, not a curated record. Lineage: Eukaryota; Metazoa; Chordata; Mammalia; Artiodactyla; Camelidae.
AGGGAGAAAGUAGGAAACUAAGGCAAAAUUGGAGUCCUGGUCAGCCUGAACUCCCAAGACUGUUUUCCUCACCAGCAAAGGACCGUGUUUCCCAAUAAGGAAACUGAGGAUCAGAGAGGCUGACUAAUUUGCCCAAUGUCACACAGCUGGUAACAGACAGAGAUGCAUGUUAUCAGUGUGAAAACGGCCUUGACAUUGAUGAUAAUGAGAGGCCUCCUGGGCCCAUGAGCCAGGAGACCUGGGCUGCAGGCUGAGGAUGAAGCACCUUCAGGCAGAGACAGUUUUAAAGUUACCGAACAUUGCUGAGAUGCAAAUACACUGAGGCUACAGAAGAAGGAGUGGAGGAGGAUGGUUGACAUUCUCAGUAACCAUCUUGCUGGGCUCUCCCUCUCCUAUGCUGGCUUUGAAGAAGCCCCAUGGAGCCCCAUGUGGGAAGAAACUAUGGGAUGCCUCAAGGACUUAAGGGCAGUUUACAGCCUUCAUCCAGCAAGGAAAUGAGGCAGAUGCAAGGAGGUGAAUUCUGCCAACAACUACAUGAGCUUGGGAGUGGAUCCUUCCAUAGUUGAGUCUUGAAUGAGACCACAUCUCUGGCUGACAUCUUGAUUGCAGUCUUGUAAGACCCCGAGGCAGAGAACCCACUUACACCGUGCAUAGACCCCUAACUCACAGAAAGUGUGAGAAAACACAUGUGUAUGGCUUAAGCUUCUAAGUUUGUGGAAAUAUUGUUAGACAGUAAUAGAAAACUAAUGUAAUCUAUUUCCUAUAGUGGAAUGACUGUCAGUCAUUGGUGUCAGAGAAUAUCUUCAAGGAAGCCCAUGAAAAAGUCAAAUGGGCAGGUGGCGGUAUAAAUACCUCAAGUUAAAAUGAUGCCAAGUAUGUAACUCAACCCAGGACCUGUUCCCCAUGUAGACUGUAGGAGCGUUGGGGCAUUUACUGGGGCUUCAUACUCUUGCAGUAACUCAUGCAUACCUUGGAGAUACAGAAUUCUAUACUCCCCAAAAUACCAGAAAAUUGACGCUCUGCAGUAUGUUCUCAUCACGCUGUGAAAGGACAUUGGGAAAACUCCAUUUCCCACAUACUUCUUAUUAGACCAAAAAGAUACCUUUAAAAAUUAACUAAAAUGCAAACACAGAAACAGCAGGUACAUCUUUCUCAUUCCUUAAAGCAAAGAAUAGACUUCUUCAAAACAGAGGUUCAAAGGUCACUAUUUUUCUUCUUUGUUAGCAACAUAACAUGGUGUGGGCUGAAGAAACUAGAGAAGAAAAAACUGCUUACAGCAAAUUUUCUUCACCCUAUUUUGUUUUGUGCUUCUGGAGCAGGACUCCUCCAGGUUAAUGGUGCUGCCAGAUCCAAAAGGUCCUUUGGAGCAAUUCAAUACAGCUGGAAACUGCUCUGACAGCCGCCCUUGACAAUGAGAGAGGCGGAGGCCCACGGAGACUAUAAUCUCACAUUCCACUGUGGCUGAGCUUUUCUCCUAACCUCAGGGUAGAUAUGUUACAAAGCUUGACUCCAUUCAACUUCCAGAUGGGAACCAGGACCUUUGAUUUGUAAAGAGGCAUCUACUCUGCUUGGAGAAGAUCAAACUGUAUGUAAUAUGAGGGAGAAUUGUGUGAACUGACCAGAUUACCCUGCAUCAGAGGUAAUGCUGGAAGCUGGAAUGAGGACUCCUAGCUCUGAAAGCCACGUAACCAUUUAGAGCGUUGUUUGGAAAUCAAAGUACAAACCAGCUCUAGGAUGGCUGAUAGGUCUCAGGGUUUGAAUCUAGUCUGGACUGAUUGGGAAGGACUUCCUGAGAGUGGACUAGAGAAGGAGCUCGAAGGUGAAUCCACUGGGACGGAAGAGUGAUGUGGGCCAUGUGUGCUUGGAAGUCAAAGAGCAGUGAGCCGGAGGCCCAGAGGGCUGGCACUUCGAGAUCGCACAGGAUAGCUCGCUAAAGGAGACCUACAGGAAGCUAUAGACUACCUCCCAAAUAAUUCUAACCUCUGUUGAAAAAAAUCUUUCUUUUGUUCAAUGAACACAGUCAAGGCAAACAAAUCAACACCUUUUAAAGCAGAAUAAGGCAAGGUGUUAUUUGUUUUUGUGUUUGUUUAUUUGUUUUGUUUUCAGCUAUCAUCCAGCAGUCCCUGGACUUGGGGAGUUUUUAUGAAGCAUUUAAUCCUAAGCAACGCAAUUUGGGCUAACAUCCUGCAGUUUAAGUAGCUGUUGAAGUAAGAUGCCAUUUUAAAGCAAACCAAUAUAGAAAAUAAUAAACUGUUCUUUGCUGAUCAGAAGGGCUCCACAGUCAUUUAGAGAUACGACUGCAAGUUAUUUUUCCAACACUGGCACUGGGCUGGCCACAAAUUUACCAGAUUUUCUAUCUCCCAUAUGGCUCACAGGCAUUUUGCCUUCUGUGGUAAACUCCCAGAAUGAAGCUGUUAUCCGCAAAGGCAUCUAGUUAGGGGCCUCACUAUUAUCAUGCUUUAAUUACCCAAGACUUUGCAGAAUAACCCACUGAGCUCAACUGCAGAAGCUUUGAACCUACAAAUUUCCACAACUGCCUAUAGCUAAUUGCCCUGCAAGUGUCCAGCAGAGCAGCUGGGAGGGAAUAGCAAAUUUUUCGGCCCUUUUUUUUAAUAUUGUUUUUCAAUGAAAAGUUUUUGGAUCUAAAAAGAAACAUUCCUAUUAGCUUGUUUUUUCCCUAGUUCUGUUUCUAAAGGACUCCCAACUAUGAAGGCCUGGCUGUUCUGGGAAUCUAAACUCCUGUACUACAUCCCAGGCCUCCAGGGAAUGUUUCCAUGGUUCACUGGAGCAAAUGAAGGAAAGGAAAGAGGCCAGCAAUUACGAACGGAUUGUGAAUCAUUUUCUACAGCAUAAUUAGGCUUCUGGAAUCCCUAGAGGGCCCGUCCAUGGAAGCAGUCCAAAGUCCUGGAGAAACAACGCAAUGUUUAUGGUUCAUCCAUUCAAUAGAAUACGAUGCAGCCAUUCAAACUAGGGGGCAGGGGCAUGUCCAACUUCAGGGAAAGCUGUCCACAAAGAUUCAUAGGUUUAAAUAAAAAAGUCUGAGCGAAUAUAUACCCAAGUAGCAGCCAUGGCAAUUUCCAGAUUGAGGUGUAAUGUCUUCCUUCCUUCCUUCCCUCCCUACCUCCUUCCUUCUUUCCUUUCUUCCUUUUUCUUUUUUCUUUUUUUUGAAUUUUAUCAAUAUUCUAUAGUAAGCACUUAUGACUUUUGAAAUUUUCAGAAAUGUUCCCUUGGUUCUCUGGGUACCACUGAGUGGAUAUUCAGACCUCAAAG